UUUGUUAGAGCAGCCGGGAAGCUUGGAUGCCUGCGCUUGAUUGCGCGGCUGACGAUGCUUUCUGUUAACGACUGUCUCUUCUACACACACACUGUGGAGUAAUUUAUUUACAACGCUUCUUCUUUGGGCUUCGGCCCAAGGGUUACAAACACAAACAACUUUUGUAUUUUAAACAUUGUCAAUUAUUUUUCAUUUUAGAAAAAAAUAUUUAAAACUUUCAACAACGGAUCUCUUGGUUCUCGCAUCGAUGAAGAACGCAGCGAAAUGCGAUAAGUAUUGUGAAUUGCAGAUAUUCGUGAAUCAUCGAAUCUUUGAACGCACAUUGCGCCCUUUGGUAUUCCAGGGGGCAUGCCUGUUUGAGCGUCAUUUCCUUCUCAAACCUUAGGGUUUGGUAGUGAGUGGUACUCUUUCUGGGUUAACUUGAAAAUGCUGGCCAUCUGGCUGUUGCUGACUGAGACUUUAGUCCAGUCUGCUGAUACUCUGCGUAUUAGGUUUUACCAACUCGUAGUGGCGUUAGUAGGCGUUACAAAGACUUUUGUCAAAAGUACGGACAGCCUGGCAAACAGUAUUCACAAAGUUUGACCUCAAAUCAGGUAGGAUUACCCGCUGAACUUAAGCAUAUCAAUAAGCGGAGGA
The sequence is a ribosomal RNA, 636 nucleotides long. The stretch from base 213 to 366 matches the Rfam family "5.8S ribosomal RNA".